This 433-nucleotide ribosomal RNA is filed under the name uncultured bacterium. RNAcentral's name for it is "bacterial SSU rRNA". It matches the Rfam family "Bacterial small subunit ribosomal RNA", at positions 30 to 467 of the family's 1533-position model. The record is from RNAcentral.
AUUGAACGCUGGCGGCAUGCCUUACACAUGCAAGUCGAACGGCAGCGGACCUUCGGGUGCCGGCGAGUGGCGAACGGGUGAGUAAUAUAUCGGAACGUACCUUUCAGUGGGGGAUAACGUAGCGAAAGUUACGCUAAUACCGCAUAUUCUGUGAGCAGGAAAGCAGGGGAUCGCAAGACCUUGCGCUGAUUGAGCGGCCGAUAUCAGAUUAGCUAGUUGGUGAGGUAAAGGCUCACCAAGGCGACGAUCUGUAGCGGGUCUGAGAGGAUGAUCCGCCACACUGGAACUGAGACACGGUCCAGACUCCUACGGGAGGCAGCAGUGGGGAAUUUUGGACAAUGGGCGCAAGCCUGAUCCAGCCAUGCCGCGUGAGUGAAGAAGGCCUUGGUUGUAAAGCUCUUCGGUCCGGGAAGGAAAUACGCACAGGUUAAGU